CGAGCAACGCCGCGUGAACGAUGAAGUAUUUCGGUACGUAAAGUUCUUUUAUUAGGGAAGAAUAAAUGAUGGAAAAAUCAUUCUGACGGUACCUAAUGAAUAAGCCCCGGCUAACUAUGUGCCAGCAGCCGCGGUAAUACAUAGGGGGCAAGCGUUAUCCGGAAUUAUUGGGCGUAAAGGGUGCGUAGGCGGUUAAAUAAGUUUAUGGUCUAAGUGCAAUGCUCAACAUUGUGAUGCUAUAAAAACUGUUUAGCUAGAGUAAGAUAGAGGCAAGUGGAAUUCCAUGUGUAGUGGUAAAAUGCGUAAAUAUAUGGAGGAACACCAGUAGCGAAGGCGGCUUGCUGGGUCUUUACUGACGCUGAGGCACGAAAGCGUGGGGAGCAAACAGGAUUAGAUACCCUGGUAGUCACGCCGUAAACGAUGAGUACUAAACGUUGGGUAAAACCAGUGUUGAAGUUAACACAUUAAGUACUCCGCCUGAGUAGUACGUACGCAAGUAUGAAACUUAAAGGAAUUGACGGGACUCCGCACAAGCGGUGGAUCAUGUUGUUUAAUUCGAAGGUACCCGAAAAACCUCACCAGGUCUUGACAUGCUUCUGCAAAGCUGUAGAAACACAGUGGAGGUUAUCAGUUGCACAGGUGGGGCAUGGUUGUCGUCAGCUCGUGUCGUGAGAUGUUGGGUUAAGUCCCGCAACGAGCGCAACCCUUAUUGUUAGUUACCAGCACGUAAUGGUGGGGACUUUAGCAAGACUGCCAGUGGUGAAUUGGAGGAAGGUGGGGACGACGUCAAAUCAUCAUGCCCCUUAUGACCUGGGCUACAAACGUG
This 826-nucleotide ribosomal RNA is filed under the name 'Solanum phureja' aster yellows phytoplasma. RNAcentral describes it as "bacterial SSU rRNA". It matches the Rfam family "Bacterial small subunit ribosomal RNA", at positions 388 to 1224 of the family's 1533-position model. The record is from RNAcentral. Lineage: Bacteria; Bacillati; Mycoplasmatota; Mollicutes; Acholeplasmatales; Acholeplasmataceae.